Molecule: long non-coding RNA, 529 nt
Organism: Hypanus sabinus (Atlantic stingray)
Lineage: Eukaryota; Metazoa; Chordata; Chondrichthyes; Myliobatiformes; Dasyatidae
Exons: 4
Source: RefSeq, a predicted model, not a curated record
CACACAGACACACACACACACCAUCUCCGAGAGACACACACAGUUCCAGAUACUGGAAAGCUGAAAGUCUGUGUAUUGAAUAAAACAUUGCGUCCUCUAACCAAGCAGCAGCAGAUGGAGGAGUGACAGAUUUCCAGAACAGCAAGAUCCUCCUACGGGCCAAAAGCAAUUGUUUCGCCUCUCCCUGAUUUCUUCCGAACGAGAACAGUUGAAUCUUGUGGAACAAUAUCAGGAGAUGAACAGGACCCGGAGCCAAUAUCGAAUAAAAGUCCUUCAGUUGUAUUCGACCCUUGAAUCCAGGACAACCGCGAAUUCCCUUCGGGACCUCUGCCAGACCACCUAUUUGAGGAAUGCGUACAUCCUCAACCGCAGCAGCUCUAUCCCCGAAAGCAACUUAUUCUGCAAUCGUUGACCAGCAGGAAAGCCUGAGCUCAGAGACGCAGAGAAUCCUCGGCAGGAUGGACCGGAGCGAGAGUUACAUGAAUGUGAAGUUGGGAAAAAAGAACUCAAGGUCUCCUACCCGAGGUGA